UUCAGAUGGUGGCUAGGUCCUUUCCAGCUCAGAGGCAAAAAAAUAGUUUCAUUUUAAGGUCCAAAAAUGCUUUUCUUAGCCAAAAUAAAAGAGAAAGACAUUUGUGAGGCGGGGGGGACACUGCACAAUGGCAGACAGGAAGGAAAGACCCAUGGUAAAAAAAAAAAAUCACUUCAACUAAUUUGAAAGACCUGUGAAAAACUAUAGCACUUGCUGAAUGCUUAAGAGUGCCAGGGCUUCAUUUGGGUUUAAUUCUGACUUUCUGGCUGCUCCCUUUCCAGUGCCAAUUUAAGGUCUUGCACUGAUGACCAUAAUUGCAGGAUUUGAUAAUAUCUGUGGACCAGUGAUGGUGUUGUAGAGGCUCUUAGAAACUUUGUUGUACCAAAAAUAACAAGAAUGACCUGGGCAAAAUAUUUCUUAUUCUUAAAGACUGCCAUUGGUACACAUGAACAAGGCCACAGCUGGGGCUUUCAAUUGAAAAUUGACUGGAAGUGUGAAGGUUAGCUCUGUGAGUGGAAGCAUCUUGGUGGAGCGAAGCCAGACGGACUGCCACGGGACGUUCCCCACCAUUCCUAGGAGAAAGACCUCUGCAUUUCCACAGCAUGCUGUUUGAAUUGGCAGCUGGCUGUGCCCACACAAACCAAUCCACAGGGGUAUUCCAGCAUGUGCAUGAGAUAAAACCCCCACAGUGAAAGCCUGCCAGAAGGAGGAUGAUAAAAACCAUCUGUUCCCGCAAGUGUUCCUUCACUGAGUGUACUCAGCAACGACUCAGACAUUGCUCCUUUGAUGGGGUUUUGCUGAAGGAGCAGCAAGGAGGGAUUUUGUGUCUUGGUAGGGGAUGAAAUGUGAAAUUACACGUGUAAUCAUGUGUGAAAGGAGGUGGUGGGAGUGUGCAAAGCAGAGACAGAUCCUUCUCAGUGGUGUCCAGGCAAGGACAACGGGCAGCGGACACAAACUGAAACACAGGAAAUUUCACACAAGUGCAAAAACACCUGAACACCCAGCUGGGCAUGGGGACAGCUUCCCCAGAGAGGCUGUGGUGCCUCCAUCCAUGGAGAUCAUCGUUCAAAACCCACCUGAACAGGCCCCUGAUGGGACUAUGGGCUUGUGGAUGACAGCCUGAGAUUGCCACAUCCAGAGGUUCCUUCCAGCCCCAGCCACAUGCUGCCUCUCCGAAAUUUACAGGAUCCCAGGACCCUGUUUUAAAAGCUCUACACCUCUCUGAAAACAGCAGAAAUUGUGCUCUUUGCAACUCCCUUCUGAAUCCAUCUCUGGGGGCUCUUCAUGCUCAGUCAACAACUCUGCAACUGAGCUGUAGCCUCCAGUUCCUUUGUUUUUAAACAACUUGUCUUCAGAUUUCAGGUCUUUCAGAUUGCCUGAGUUGGUCACAGCACAGUGUGAGCCAUUCACUUAAGGACUGGACUUGCUGACCCUUCUGGGCCCCUUUCAGCUCCCAACUCAGAAUAUUCUGUGAUUCAGAGGUUAAAGUGGGGCAACACAGCAACUUUUUGUGUUGAAAAAGCCAACACAAGUACAUGGCACUGCACUUGAAUCACACUGUCACUACGAAGAAUUGGGACUGGCAAAUCACAGCCAUGCAGAUCCAUCCCUUCCUGUCCUUUAAAAUCAAAUUAACUCCCCCCUGCAGAACUUGAGAGGGAGGAGGAAUAAAUCUGGAUCUCCUUGCACUGUCCCAGCCCCAUCCCAUAUCCCUCGUCACCCUCCCCAGCACCUGCACUCUGAGCUGGGCUCAACACCGGGCACAGGAUGGGUGAGGGUUGUGUGGAUAUUCAGCUGGCAAAAGCAUUUCCAUGCCAUAAUCUCCAGGUCACACAGAAUGGAGGAUUUCCCUGAAAAUCCUGCUGCUGCCAGCACAGCUGCAGUGAGGACUGCUCCUGACUUAUGCAAUCAAAAGAGAAUUGAAAGAAAACUGGACCUGGCAAUGCAAGCAUGUGGCUGCCUACACCACCAAUACAACAUCCAGUCAGGGGUGAUUAAUAUUACACUGGCUGGCAAUUUUUUUAUUUAUUUUAUAUUUUUUUUUUUACAUUUAAAUGAAAGUUGAACAAUCCCCGUAAACCUUCUGACUAAGAAAUCAGAGGCCUUUUCAAGCAAAUUGUUACCACGCUGCUUUCUCCUCUUUGAAAGUCCAUAUGGACAGAUAAACUGAGAAUAGAAAAACCACAUCUGACUUAAAGCCCAACAUACAAAUUAUUACCACUGUGAUCAUCUCAUUUCCCCUGGACUAGCAUUAGGCCAUGAGCCAGGCUCUUUGAAAACUCUAAGACUGAACCAAGCUGGAGAAGAAACCAACUCUGAAGCACUGUGUGUCUGAAAUAGUAAAUAUAGGGUUAUAUAUAAAUCUUCACUCUGUAAGGUCUUGGGCACUCUUAAUGUUUAGAUUUUUCUGCGGCUUGAGGUCUGGAAUAAAAUCAAGUCCUCGUACUGUUGCACACAGAAGAGAUCGACGUCUCUUCCUUGUCCAUGCAAACAAGUGAAUUCAAUAAAGAAUGAGAAGGAAGGGGAAAAAAAUCACUUUCCUUGAGUUUAUUGGGAGAGCAAGCAGCACCACUCACAUCCUGGCACGGGGGCCACGUCCUGAGCAGCAGAAAAAAUGAGUUUUUCUUCUCCUGUGGCCUUCUCUUUCAUGGAAAGAAGGAAUUGAGAAAGGCCAAGCGCAAACAUUGGGCUGGAAGGUUCAUGUGGGGCAGGCAAGACGGAGCUGUUAUGAAGGAUGGGAUUAAGGGGCCCACAAAAAAAGGUGGAAGUGCACUCAGAUCAGAAGCUUCAAAUGCAGCAGCAUUCCCAAUACCACUGAGGGGUUGCAUUUAUAGCAGUGGAUCCUCUCCAGUUCAGAUGUGUCUCUGCAGAGGGCACGAGGUUGAAUUCUGGGGGUAUUCAAGAAGGUGGUGAAAAAUUCAGAGACCAAAUGGAGAUGGCACAAGAAGUUAAACAAAUGGAUUUAUUUCCCCUGAAAGGAACUGCAUAUCUCCCUAUCUGCUUCACUAUGAAUUUCUCUUCUGCCUGUUUCCAUUUUAAAUCCUUCAAGACAACAGAGGUCAAACUUUGGGCACUUCCAUAACAGAGGACCACACACAGAUGUAGAACUUCAUUAUCUGAUGAACUAUUAUCUUCCAACUUCUGUUUUGUUUUCAUUUUAUUUUGUUUUUCAGUAGUAGCCACGUGACAUCUGUCAUCAUCUUUGAGGGUGAAUGAGUCCUCCAGAGGCUGCUAUAUGAAAUAUGACCCAAAGUUAGGAUUUAUCAAGUAGAAAAGUCCUCAUCUCAUAAGGACUUCUGCACAGGCCAGAUCCAAGCAGACAUUUCUGUAACAUGUGGCCUCAAGAAGUAUAGGCAUUUUUUCCUAAACUGUCCUUAUAUAUAAAUAAAUUUUGCAAAAAAAAACCAAACCCAAACAAAAAAACAAACCCUAAAAAACUUUUAAAAAGACAAACAAAAAAAACUCAACAAAACAAAAACAAAAAAACCAACAAAAGUGAAUAUUCAGAUUUUAGCAGUGCAUGGAAUAUAUUUUUGUGGACAAAAAACAAAGGAGGAAAAAAAGAAUGCUAAAAACAAAUAAGGAGAAACAAAGUAAGUCAUAUCCUCACCCUCUGUUAGGUCCAAUUGCUGCAAGAAAAAUUGGUUGCUUGUUGCAGCUGAUUAUAACAUCUUGUGAACAUACUGCUGGCUUGUUUUGGCUGUGAGCCUAUGACUACAGAAUUCAGACCAGCUCCUCACAUCAGAUUCAAGGCUGCAAAGAAGGGAAGGGAAAAAAAACACAGCCAAAGAAUGAAGGUGAAGGGUUGUUAUCAUCCCUAACUGGUUUCUCUGGAGAUCAUUAGCUAGAAGAACUUUGUCCUUUUAUUCUCUUUCAAAUGGUCAUUUCAUUCAGAUAUUUUUUUCUUUCUUUUUUCCACCCUU
This is a long non-coding RNA of Parus major (Great Tit), 3923 nucleotides long. RefSeq lists it as uncharacterized. The transcript is spliced from 4 exons. NCBI's taxonomy places the organism in Eukaryota, Metazoa, Chordata, Aves, Passeriformes, Paridae. The record is from RefSeq and is a predicted model, not a curated record.